Molecule: non-coding RNA, 418 nt
Organism: Jatropha curcas
Lineage: Eukaryota; Viridiplantae; Streptophyta; Magnoliopsida; Malpighiales; Euphorbiaceae
Source: RefSeq, a predicted model, not a curated record
GCAGAAGCCAAAGGAGCAAGAAACAAAGCAAAACAGGGAGAAACCGAGAAAGAGAGAUGGAGCAGAAGCAGAGCCAAACCCAACCCUCUAAGACCCAAACUGCAACUGUAUUUCCUAAAAAGAGGAGGUUAGUGAAAAGGUUGAUGUUUGAUUCUUUUGUCUCUCUUUUCAGCUCUAAACCCAAAGAAAAGAAGGAGAUUAGCAACAGUCGUAUGAACAAGUAACAAGCAAGCUCAAAAGGAUCAAAUAUAUACCCUUUUAAUUUCUGGAGGUUUCUUGAAAUCAAACACGAGGAAGAAAGAAAAAGAAUAGGAGAAGAAGUGAUUGAUGUAAUAGUAUUAAUUAAAGUCAUUAUACUUAAUUUAGUAUCAAUCAAGUCUCUAUGUUUUGUACUGAUAAAGAAAACGUUGAUUUUCUA